This 440-nucleotide ribosomal RNA is filed under the name Erragonalia choui. RNAcentral's name for it is "partial large subunit ribosomal RNA". Lineage: Eukaryota; Metazoa; Arthropoda; Insecta; Hemiptera; Cicadellidae. The record is from RNAcentral.
UUCUGCCCUAUGAUUAAUUUUAAAUGGCUGCAGUAUUUUGACUGUGCAAAGGUAGCAUAAUCAUUAGUCAUUUAAUUGUUGACUAGAAUGAAUGGAUAAAUGAGCAAUUAAUUUUUUUAAAUUUAUUUUUAAAAUUUUAUUUUUAAGUAAAAAAGCUUAAUUAUUUUUUAGGGACGAUAAGACCCUAUAGAACUUUAUUAUAAAAUUGAUUUAAAAAUUUUUGGUUUAAAAUUUAUUUAUUUUUUAUUUAUUUUUUUGUUGGGGUGAUGAAUAAAUUAAAACUUUAUUUUUUUAAUUCAUUUAUUUAUGAUUUUUUUGAUCCAUAUUUUAGAAAAAAGAAAUAGUUACCUUAGGGAUAACAGCGUAAUUUUAAUGGAAAGUUCAUAUUUAUAUUAAAGUUUGCGACCUCGAUGUUGAAUUAAGAUAAAUUUGGGGGGUAG